GACGCUGGCGGCGUGCCUAACACAUGCAAGUCGAACGGUAACAGGUCCUUCGGGACGCUGACGAGUGGCGCACGGGUGAGUAACGCGUGGAUAUCUGCCCAUCGGCAGGGGACAACUUGGAGAAAUCCAAGCUAAUACCGCAUACGACCUACGGGUGAAAGCGGGGGACCUUCGGGCCUCGCACCGAUGGAUGAGUCCGCGUCUGAUUAGCUAGUUGGUGGGGUAAAAGCCUACCAAGGCGAUGAUCAGUGACUGGUUUGAGAGGAUGAUCAGUCACACUGGAACUGAGACACGGUCCAGACUCCUACGGGAGGCAGCAGUGGGGAAUAUUGCACAAUGGGGGAAACCCUGAUGCAGCGACGCCGCGUGCGGGAAGAAGGCCUUAGGGUUGUAAACCGCUUUCAAUUGGGAAGAAGAGAUGAGAGUUAAUACCUCUCUGAUUUGACGGUACCUUUAGAAGAAGCACCGGCUAAUUUCGUGCCAGCAGCCGCGGUAAUACAAGCCGAAU
RNAcentral lists this ribosomal RNA (508 nucleotides) under uncultured bacterium. Its description in RNAcentral is "bacterial SSU rRNA". It matches the Rfam family "Bacterial small subunit ribosomal RNA", at positions 33 to 535 of the family's 1533-position model. The record is from RNAcentral.